Peromyscus eremicus (cactus mouse) is the source of this 344-nucleotide long non-coding RNA. RefSeq lists it as uncharacterized. The transcript has 2 exons. The record is from RefSeq and is a predicted model, not a curated record. Lineage: Eukaryota; Metazoa; Chordata; Mammalia; Rodentia; Cricetidae.
CUUGAGUGAAGAACAGAAGGUGGAGCUAGCCAUUAGCUAACCAUUAGAGGUCUGGAGGUCUAUACAGACAACGGACAGGAAGUGAUACGGCUGGGUGGAGACAGGAGCUCAGCCCCUCUUCGGUCUGAGGAUUCUGUACAGAACAAAACAAAACAAGACGACCACAUGAGGACAUCUGCUUUGAGAUCAACGGGCAGCAGAAGAACAGGCCUCUGCAAAUGACUUACGGUUUUUCUUGGACUGCUGAGCAGCUGUCCACAGCUCUGUUAAGUUAAUUUUGGGGACAUUCUAGAAAAACAAAAAUAAUUUCGAAAAUAACAUAUAAUAAAAAUAAAACAAUUGUA